GACGAACGCUGGCGGCGUGCUUAACACAUGCAAGUCGAGCGGUAAGGCCCUUUCGGGGGUACACGAGCGGCGAACGGGUGAGUAACACGUGGGUGACCUGCCCUCAGCUCUGGGAUAAGCCUGGGAAACCGGGUCUAAUACUGGAUAUGACUCCAUGACGCAUGUUGUGGGGUGGAAAAGCCUUGUGCGGCUGAGGAUGGGCCCGCGGCCUAUCAGC
This 217-nucleotide ribosomal RNA is filed under the name uncultured bacterium. Its description in RNAcentral is "partial 16S ribosomal RNA". It matches the Rfam family "Bacterial small subunit ribosomal RNA", at positions 28 to 245 of the family's 1533-position model. The record is from RNAcentral.